GUCUAUGGCCAUACCACACUGAAUACACCCAGUCUCAUCUGAUCUCAGAAGCUAAGCAGGGUUUGCGCUGGUUAGUAUUCAGAUGGGAGAGUGUAUCAAAGACA
This 104-nucleotide ribosomal RNA is filed under the name Theropithecus gelada (gelada). The record is from RNAcentral. Lineage: Eukaryota; Metazoa; Chordata; Mammalia; Primates; Cercopithecidae.